Molecule: non-coding RNA, 10287 nt
Organism: Oryctolagus cuniculus (rabbit)
Lineage: Eukaryota; Metazoa; Chordata; Mammalia; Lagomorpha; Leporidae
Source: RefSeq, a predicted model, not a curated record
UUGGCCAACUUCGGGGCCGGGCGGGGCAGCGCGCGCGGGCCUUUCCACUUUUCCCUCCUUCCCCUCCUCCCUAGCAGCGGUGUGCGUGUGCGUGUGCGUGUGCGUGUGUGUGACCGGGUUUUUAAAAAAUCGUCUUCGCUCCUCCGCGAGCGGGGGAGGGGGAGGCGCGCGCCUGGAGGGGGAGGACCUGAGUGGAAACAGAUGUGGCGGGUGGCGGGCGGCGGGGGAGGGGAGCCGGGACGCGCGCGGCCUCGGAGGAAGCGCGCGCUCGGAGGACCCCCGCCCGGCCCUCAAGGACCACCCGGCGCCAACCCUGCCCUCGGCGGGCACCCGCGGGGCGCGUCCAGGGAAAUCGGGGGCUCAGCGUGAGUCUAUGGCCGCCCCACCGUGCGCCGCCAGGACGGAUGCGUUAUUACCGCGUUCGUUCUGUCCGUUCGAAGGUUCACUUUCCCUUCCCGGCUUCUCGAUGGUGUUUAUAUUUUCUUUUCCACACUGGGUCUUCAGGGACAGCUUGUGGCACGCGGCGUCCGCACCGCGUAAGCGGGGAGUUUUGGGGGGGCAGUUUUUUGUGGGCAGCUCUGGCCCCGCUGGCGCCCUCCAGGGUGGACAGAUCUUGAAGGGCAAAGAGCAGCUGAAGAUGCAGAAAUCCAGCCAGCCGACCCUGAAACUGUACCUGGUGUUGCUUUCUCAAAGGGUGACAGCGGAGGGGGGGAUCCCAGGCCCCCUCCCCAAGAAGCAGAGUCCCUGGGGGUGGGGACAUCGAGAGCAAAAGCUGCCGUGUGCAAGGAGGGCAUCACCCCAGCGCCAGCGCUGCGCCCAGCUUGUCCUGCUUUGUGUGGGCUUUGGGGAUGGAUUGCGCGAAAGGGGACAGUGGGCAGUGCUUGCUGUUUUGUGCGAGGACCAGACAGCCCCCUGGAGGGACUGGGGCCUCCAGGGUGGUCAGGCAUCUGCCUGAGGGGAGCGGUGGGGGCUCCGGGUCCACAUUCUGUGCACUUUGAGCCCCUCCUGCCCUCCUGAAUUCCGACCUGCUGGAACUGAGUGUUGGACAAACAGAAGCCCUGCAGAGCCCCCUCACCACUGCAGGACAGGCCGGGGGCUGUCUCUUGCCCACUGCACCACUGCACAUCUGCCUGGGGAAGCUGGAGUCUGGCAGGGUGCGAGGGGUGGGGAGCGUGGCCCCUGCAGGGGGCUCAGCACAUUGGAGAGUCAGGCCCUGGAAGAGAGUCAUGGCCAAAACGCUGCCUCGCCUCUUCCCCUUCCGCCCUCUUGAUGAGGGAGUGGAAGCCUGGAGAGGCCCCAGGCCUCUGCACCUGGCCCUCCCCACCCUGGAGGAGGAGGCACUGCCUUGAUCACCCUCUGAGCAAGCUUAGGUCUGGGCCAGGAGACUGUGGGGCAACGGGCUGUUCUCCACAGCAGCACUUGAGCAAGAGGAGGACCGAGUUGUAGCACAAUGCCCCUGGCAUCUCCCAGCACACAGCUGCCCCCUCUGCCAGUCUGCUCCCCCUGCCACCUUCCGGGCCUCCUCUGGCCAAGUUCCCCACUGGAAGAGCUCCCAUACCUUGUACUGAUGCAUAAGGUGGCACUGGGAUGAAUUCACCAGCGGGCCCCAGAAACACAUGUUGGAAGCAGGAUCUGGUGCUGCUGGGGCGAACUUACCCCGGGGAGAGGGGACGGCAUGGUAUGUGGCAGCUUCCUGGCCCCCGGCAGGGGAGCCCUGUGGGCUGAGAGGCAGGGGCGCUGUAGCGAGGUGGGCAGCACCCUCUUGCUGUGUGGUGGCUGAUCCAUCUCCCUGUGCCUCCGCUGUGCACGCCCCGAAGAUGGUCACUGGAGGUGUCCUUGUUCACCGCUGUGCUGCUGCGUGUUUGGAACACUCAGCCCGGCGCUGAGCCCAGUACUUGGAGGGGCGGGGAGGAUAGAGAAGAGUGAAAGCCACGUCCUCAAGGGGGUGAAACGCAACCCCUGGACGGGGAGGGGAGAUGGGGUGCCUGCCAUGGCCCAGAGCCGGGAAGAGCUGUGUGUGCCGUUUUACGCUUAACUCUGCCAACAACGCAACGAGAUGGGUACUGUUGGGCCCAUUUUGCAGGUGAGGAAAGGCAGGCGAAGGUGGAGUUUGGUCAUUUCUGUGUGGUUGGACAGCCCAUAACUGAAGGGCUGGUGUGGUGGAGGCAGGGAGCCUGCAGGCCCAGGGAGGCAGCAGCAGCGAGGGCUCUGCCGGGGAUGAUCUGGGAGUUUGCUGGGCCCUGGUCGGGAGGAGGCUGAGUGGACAAGGAAACUGGCCAGGUGCCCGGGAGGCCAAAACAAGGAGGUGGCUUGCGGGCUGGCUGGGGCGGUGGAGAGUCCCCCCCCCCGGGGGGGGAGUUUGAGCAGAUGAAUGGGGUUGCUGGGAGCCCCAGGGGUACGGAGUGAGGAGGCUUUGGGAAAUCUUCCUGGACAGGGAGGGAGGCUGUAGAAGCUGCUGCUGCUACCGCGGCCAGACUGCCAGUCACAUCACGUGCGCCCCCGGCCCAACUCCUGGCAGGUCACGGACGCGGGGACCAUCUUACUCCUGCCUGCUCCCCAAACCUGCUUCCUUGCUGCACCCCAUGAGCACUCCAGAGCUGCCAGGCCUGAGGGGGAGACUUCCGGAUGCCCGCGUGGUCUGGUGUCACGGGCAGAAGCCUUCUGGAGACUGUUCCUUUAAAUUCCCCCUAAUUUAAGCCUUUGAAAGGAGCCCCGUGAUGCCCUCUGGGGGCGUGAGGCGCUGACAGCGAUGACACGGCCAAUGAUGUGCUGGGCGCUGUGCCCAGCUCCACAGGCAGCGCUGCCAUACGCCACGCCCUGUGUGUGCCCCAUGCUGGGCACACGGGAGUCACCAGUGGGAGAUGCCAGCGAGUGGUGAAGUGACAGUACACCCAGGUGAGGGACAGAGCAGACCCCUCAGGCACCAAGGAAGCACUACAGGGGGAGAGGAAGACGCUGCAGUGUGGGGUCCCCCAGAAUGCCAGGCCUUCUCCGACCUCUCCCGUGUCCCCCGGAGAGGACCCUGAGCACAAGGGUGGAGCGCACCCAGCUAUGUGUCCCCGUCCCGGUCAAUGACGGCUGUCUGGGCACUUGGCUCUCCCACGUCCCAGUGGGUUCAGCAGGCAGGGCCUGAGCCCCAUCAGGUCCUUGGCUGUGAGGUGCCCCCCACCCCCCGCAGGGAGGCGUGGGUGAGCCAGCGCUGAGUGAGCAGAGGUGCCCAGGCCGGCACCCCUGCUUCCCGGGGUCAGAUUCGCGUGCUGCUGCCUUCAUUGGUCGCUUAGUGGGGUUUCCUGGGCCUGUGCAGUGCUGAGAGCCGGGGUGACCGUGGCCUGUGCCUCUCCACCGCCCACCUCGCUCCGCGCCUUCUCCAGCGGGGGUCCCUGGGCCCGUCCGGCCUGGGUCUUGCAGACAGACCGGAAGUCUGCCUUCAGGACGGGGGAGGGGCCGCUUUCCCAUGACGGGGUCCUAUAAAUCCGGGUGGGGUGGACCGUUGGGGUGGUGACGCAGCUCUUGGCUCUCACCCUGGGCACUGCAAAUGCUAUUACUCCUCAGCUCGGCCCUGUGUGGGGAAGCCGCAGGCCGGCGGAGGCUGCGCUGUGGCUCGGGAAUGCGCACGACGCACACCCCUCCCAGCCGCUAGGCUGGACCCAAGCCCCGUGCUCACCUCCGCCCUGCCCCUGCCCGCUGCUCAGGUGUUGCUGGAGGGCAACUGUGGAGCGUCAGCCGCCACCGCCAGGCCCCCGGGGCCGUGGUGAACAGGACGUGGUGGCUCGAGCCCCCCCCCGGAGCCAUGGUGAAGAGGAUGUGGGGGGCUUGGGGUCCCUGGGCUGUGGUGAAGAGGACGUGGUGGGCUCAGGGCCUCUGGGCCGUGGUGAACAGGACGUGGUGGCUCGGGGUCCCUGGAGCCGUGGUGAAGAGGACGUGGUGGGCUCGGUGCCCUGGGGCUGUGAUGAACAGGAUGUGGUGGGCUCGGUGCCCUGGGGCCGUGGUGAAGAGGACUUGGUGGGCUCAGGACCCCCAGGGCUGUGGUGAACAGGAAGUGGUGGGCUCGGUGCCCUGGAGCCUUGGUGAAGAGGACAUGGUGGGCUCGGCCCCCAGGGCUGUGGUGAACAGGAAGUGGUGGGCUCGGUGCCCUGGGGCCGUGGUGAAGAGGACAUGGUGGGCUCGGCCCCCAGGGCUGUGGUGAACAGGAAGUGGUGGGCUCGGUGCCCUGGGGCCGUGGUGAAGAGGACAUGGUGGGCUCGGCCCCCAGGGCUGUGGUGAACAGGAAGUGGUGGGCUCGGUGCCCUGGGGCCGUGGUGAAGAGGACUUGGUGGGCUCAGGACCCCCAGGGCUGUGGUGAACAGGAAGUGGUGGGCUCGGUGCCCUGGAGCCUUGGUGAAGAGGACAUGGUGGGCUCGGCCCCCAGGGCUGUGGUGAACAGGAAGUGGUGGGCUCGGUGCCCUGGGGCCGUGGUGAAGAGGACUUGGUGGGCUCGGCCCCCAGGGCUGUGGUGAACAGGAAGUGGUGGGCUCGGUGCCCUGGGGCCGUGGUGAAGAGGACAUGGUGGGCUCGGCCCCCAGGGCUGUGGUGAACAGGAAGUGGUGGGCUCGGUGCCCUGGGGCAGUGGUGAACAGGAAGUGGUGGCUCAGAGCCCAGGGCCCUGGUGAACAGACAUCGUGGGCUCGCCCCCCCCCCCCGGGGCCGUGGUGAACAAGAUGUGGUGGUCUCAGAGCCGCUGGGGCUUUUGUGAAGAGGACACUUGGUGGGCUCGGUGUCCCCGGGAAAGGGUGCAGCUCAGUCCAGGCUUCACUGGCAGUCUGUGUUCGGAAGGAGCCGGGGUGCGGCCCCUGCCCUGACUGCGGGGCGGGAGCGCGGGUGUGGCCCCGAAUGUUCCUCCUCUCUGGCCUCUGGAGAGGGGACAGGACCCUUGGACCAGGACUCAUGUCGCUCACAGCCUGUGUGGCCUCAGGCAGAGGCUCAGGUGUCUUCCUGGAUAGGAGCACCCAUGUAGGGGUGCUGUGAGAACCAGGGCUGCGUGCCUGGUGCACCCCGGGGCAAACAGUGGGCAACCAUUUCCGUCUUCAUUAUUGAGACAGCUUGAAUGUCAGGGGCCCAGAGACCGUAAAUACAGCCCUCAGAGUCCUAGCUAGACUGCCCCGUUUUCAACGGAAGCAGGUGGAAACCCAUCACUUCUUGGAGACGCCUACAAGGCUCAAAGUAAUCACGCUUCUUAUAGAAGCAAACUUACAUCCUGAAGGGAAAACUCCAUCCUCAAGCGCCCCACUCCCUUGACCCUUGCUUGCCCUCUCUGUCGGUAAACCCCCCCAUUUCGCCUUCACUCGGGUGCAGCUGGGACUUGCUGGGACUCUGCACGUGGCAGUGCUCACCCGAGCAUCGGAGGCCCCGCGGGGCGCUCGGGCAUGCCGGCCACUCCUCCAGCACCCAGACGCCCUUCGCCUGGGGUCUCAGGGCCGAGGGAGCGGGGCUGCCAUUGCUGAGCGCGGCGACUGUCCCGGGGCCUCGCUUUGAGGCCUGGGUGCCACCCAUGCUCCGUGGGAAACGCUCGGGCCGCACAGAAGUCAGUGUUCAGAGCCCGAGCGCCUCCUGCCCACAGCCACGCAGCCGCGCCGUCGGUGGGCCCUGGGCUCGUCUCCCGUCUGCACGCACACCCAACACUUCCGUUACCCAAAUAGCUAAUUUAUUUUCAGCCAUUUGGCAAAGGAGUUUCUAUUUCUGCUGUUCCUGGAGUCCGUCCCCGCCAACUGCAGAGCUGCCCCUCUCAACGGCGUUCCGCACUGUGCCGCAAGGAGCGGCUGCGUUCCCAGCUGAGCGGGCUGCUUGCCGAGGGACGCGCUCGUGGCCCCGGGGCUCCUGCCUUGGCCCCUGGGAUGCCCUCUUCGUCCCUGGCCUCGGCCAGAGCCGGCGUGCCUGUCAGAUUCGGGAUCCUGCAGGACAGCUUCAGUGAGUUCUGGACAUUUGCAGUGUAGACUUCGAGGCCUCCCGUUCUCUGCAAGUCCUUGCACAAGUCACACUGCGCUCCUUCCCGUGAGCCCCUCACAGAUCCCCGGGCUGCUGCUCGCCCUGCCGCCAGGCUCCCUUGGCCACGCGUCUCAGCACCUGCUCGCACCGCGGCCUCACCUGGCUCAUGCCCGCGGCCUUACCUGCCUGAGCUGCCCUCAGCUGAAAGGAGCCUUUCUCUCCAGAGCCCCACACUGGCGAUUGAUCACUGCCACCCACCCCGGGGGGGUGCACUUCCUCUCCCCCAGCCUAGAAGCACCUCCCAGGCAGGCCAUUUUGUCCCUGCACAGGUUGCAACAUGGGAUUGUGGACACUGUGGCAUUCGGCAAGUAUUGACUGAAAAGAAAAAAAAUAGGGGCUGGUGCUGUGGCAUAUCGGGGAAAGCCACUGCCAUAUGGGCGCCUGUUAAAGUCCCGGCUCCACUUCCGAUCCAGCUCUCUGCUAUGGCCUGGGAAAGCAGUAGAAGAUGGCCCAAGUGCUUGGGUCCUUGUAACCACGGGGGAGACCUGGAGGAAGCGCCUGGCUCCUGGCUUCGGAUCAGCUCAGCUCUGGCCAUUGUGGCCAUUUGGAGAGCGAAUCAGCGGAUGGAAGACUAUGCUCGCUCUCUCUCUCUCUCUCUGUUUCUCUUUCUCUCUCUUUCUCUUUGCCUUCGCAGCUCUGUAACUCCGCCUUUCAAAUAAAUACAUAAAAAGGGAAGAAAAAAUAGAAGGCAGAUGAGUACGGAAGGACAGUGCAGGGAGUUUUAGAUGAUGUCCCAGUCAUGAAGGCCGAUGACAGCAACUUAAACAGAAAAGGCCCCAUUGGCCUCGGGUGCAUCGCACAGGCAGAGGUAAAGUGUUCUAAGAAUGUCCUGUGAGACGCACCAGAAACAGGGCCCUGGGAGAAGGGAGUCUGCUUCAUGUUCCUGGGACAACGGGAUGCCAGACAGUGUGUUCACAGCUGAGCACGCGUGAGGCAGGUCCGGUGACAGGUCAUCACGCGGGAAGUGCAGAGAUCCCUGUAACGCAGAGUGCACUUUCUGGACAUGCCUGAGUAAACGAGUGCAAACAGAAAGCCUAGUCGUGACGGGACUGCGAGGAAAUCACUUGUCGGAAUUCAUUCUCUCGCACAUCCACAAGGCUUCGUAUCCUCUAACCUUGUGGUUCCACUUGGAGUUUGUAAGGCAUUCAAAUCCUGAAGGGAAAACUAAACGCCGGCACUGCUCCUAGCAGCAAAACGAAUUGGAAACUACACAGGGACAGUUUCGUAGUUUCCAGUGGCAACUGGGGCCAGUGCCGGUGCAGGGAAAUGUAUCGGAAGAGGAGGGUCUCGUGACCACAAGGCGGUUCCUGCCCGGGUCGCACACCCCGGUGACCGUUCAGAUGCACACGUCCGCUGUCCGACGCGUAGCCGUUCGGUACCUGCCGUCUUGGAGUUGCUGGCUUUCCGGAGCACCAGCGGUGUGCCAGGCUUGCUGUCUGGUGAGGGGGCCACCGUGGUGAGCACACUGAGUGUGGUGCCUGCCUUCCUGAGCCUUGUAUUUGGAAGGCAAGCCCCCCAAAAUAUACAACGUAAAUAGACUCGAAUGUACAUUGAUGUAUUUUUUAGUACCAUUUUUAAGUCUACUAAAAGAAGAUGGAAGCACUACAAUCUCAGCCCCAGGAGCAGGACCUUGUCUGAGAGCAGAGGAUGGUGGCAUCCGAGCAGCCUGGCACGGAGGAAGGACCCCCAGGAGACGGCUCACGGCCGGGCUCGAUCGCCACUCCCCACAGGAAGGAGCUCCCGGAACUGCCCGAGAUGCCCAACCUCGUUUCUGAUGGAUCCGAGGCUGUAAGAGCUUGGUGGUUUGGAAAGCGCUUGGAAGCACUGCUUCUGAGAGCAGGAACAAAACAACAUAGAGGCCGGCGCCGCGGCUCACUAGGCUAAUCCUCCACCGCCGGCACCCCGGGUUCUAGUCCCGGCCGGGGCGCCAGAUUCUGUCCCGGUCGCUCCUCUUCCUGUCCAGCUCUCUGCUGUGGCCCAGGAAGGCAGUGGAGGAUGACCCAGGUGCUUGGACCCUGCACCCACAUGGGAGACCAGGAGGAAGCACCCGGCUCCUGGCUUCGGAUUGGCGCAGCACGAGGGCCGUGGCGGCCAUUUGGGGGGUGAACCAACGGAAGGAAGACCUUUCUCUCUGUCUCUCUCUCUCACUGUCCACUCUGCCUGUCAAAAAAAAAACAUAGAGCAUGAGCCUUGAAAAACACGAUGGGUAAACCACGAAGACGCUGAAGUAUACAGCCGUAGGGAGUGAACAAGCUUCGGCCAGGUGCAGUGGCGUGAGACCCUCAGAGACACACUGCCGAGUGGGGAAAGCAGCUCCAGAGGGCUACACAGGACGAGCUGUGCAGGCCAGCACAGAAGGUGCGAGGUAACAGAGUGAGCACCUGCAACAUUGCUCACCUAGAGCCACCAACAGCUGCUGUUUGCUUUGACCUCGCUGUGUGUGUGUGUGUGUGUGUGUGUGUGUGUGUGUGUGUGUGGUGAAGCUUUGAAAGUCAGUUGCAGACAGGACAUUUCAUUCCUAAAUGCCUCACCUUGUAUCAACUAAAAGACAUUUGUUGACAACAAUAAUGCUAUAAUCACACCCAAGGAAUAUCACACAAUCUUUUUUAAGAUUUAUUUGAAAGACAGAGUUACAGAGAGAGGUAGAGAGAGAGAGAGAGGUCUUCCAUCUGCUGGUUCACUCCCCAGAUGGCCGCAACCAACGGAGCUGCAGUGAUCCGAAGCCAGGAGCCAGGAGCUGCUUCUGGGUCUUCCACACAGGUGCAGGAACCCAAGGACUUGAGCCAUCUUCUGCUGCUUUCCCAGGCCAUACCAGAGAGCUGGAUUGGAAGUGGAGCAGCCAGGGCUCAAACCAGUGCCCAUAUGGGGUGCUGGCGCUUCAGGCCAGAGCGUUAACCCAUUGUGCCACAGCGCUGGCUCCCCAGAAUCUCUUUUUUUUUUUUUAAGAUUUAUAUAUUUGAAAAGCAGAGUUACAGAGAGAGAGGGAGAGACAGCAAUAUUUCAUCUGCUGGUUUGCUCUCCAAAUGGCCACAAGAGCCAGACUGGGCUAAGGCAAAGCUGGGAACCAGGAACUCCGCCUGGGUUCCCUGUGUAUGUGGCAGGGACCACCUUCCACUGUCUUCCCAGGGUGUUAGCAGGGAGCUGGCUGGGAAGCAGAGCUGGGAUGGCACCGUCACAGCGGGGCUCAGCCACAGCGCCAGCCCACACUCGUUUUUUCUGACACGCAGUCCGUGUUUGGAUUUCUUCACUGUCCCAAAUUAUGUCUUUUAUUGCCAUCUUUAAGUCCGGCGUUCAAUUAAGUGUCAUGUCUUCCAUCUCCUUUCAUCUGAAAGAAUUGCUUGGCUUUUUCUGGUUUCACGCGUUACAGUUUGAGGACACGAAAUGAGUUUGUCUCAUUCUUACGCACUCCUGGACUCAAGGCAGACGUGUUUGGGAAGAGGACCGCGUGGUGUGUCCUCCCCCCGUGUCGGGUCCUGUGAGGGUCCCCUCAUUCCUGAUGCCGACCAUGGUCGCGUGGUUCAGCUGGUGCCUGCUACAUCACCGCACCGAGAGCUGCCUGUCCCUUCUGUGUCCAGUGGGCCAUCUAAAUAAUCUAAACAAUGUAAGCUGUUCUUGAAAAGCAACAGCCGGAAGACAGCCACAUGUGCACCAACAGUAGGUAAACACCAGGUGCACUGUGGUCUCUUCACACAACGGAGGGUUGCACAGUCUACACCCACCUGCAACAGACUGCGUGAACUUAUAUACACUGCGCUGGACGCACUGAAGUGGUACCUAUGACCUCAUCCAUGUAGAAUUCGAAGGAACAGGCAAAAUCGUCCAGUGCCAUUUGUAGUCAGAAUGAUCCCCCUGAGUGGGAAAGGGACCUCUGUGGGCGGGAUCCCAAGUAAAAUGCAAAAAGAACUAACAGGGAAGAGAUACUUAAUGACUGUGGCAUGAGGUUCACGUAAGCCAAUGGGGAAAACACAGGAACCUGUAAUAUUUUUAAGGCACUUAAGAUUGGAAUAGGUAAGACAAUGACAAUGGACAGAGUACAAAGACAGGAAUACCAUUGUCUAACAAACACACGCAGAAUGGUUAAAAUCUCUAGCAGUAAAAAAAGGCAGUAGACUUGGUGAAGAGCGGGAAUCCGUGUGCAGCUUUGAACCCAGAGCUGUAAUCACACCAAGGAAUAUCACACAAUCUUUUUUCAAAAAAAAAAAAAAAAGAUUUCUAUAUGUGAAAGGCAGAGUUAUAGAGAGAGGGGAAGAGACAUUCUAUUUUAAG